RNAcentral lists this long non-coding RNA (1304 nucleotides) under Pogona vitticeps (central bearded dragon). RNAcentral's name for it is "lncRNA (ENSPVIG00000022118.1)". The record is from RNAcentral. Lineage: Eukaryota; Metazoa; Chordata; Lepidosauria; Squamata; Agamidae.
UUUCCUUUUGUGUUCCGAGAAGGGGAAAAAAAGAGAGCGAGAGCAAACGAGAACUUUUGCCAAGCUCUCUCAACACCAGAAGAUUGCAUUUUUUGGGAGGGUGGAUAAAAAAAAGAGGAAGAGACGCUCAAGUUCUUAUCAAGGGGAAGAGCCGAGCUGGGUUUUUUUUUUUUUAUCAUCUUGUUAUUCCCACGCAGUAAGCAGAGAGGGCCGGUUCGUUUUUUUUUUAAAGGGACUGCGUCUCCUUUGCCUUUUCCCCACCAAAUCUAUCUAUAUAAAUACGAUGGUCUCUAUCAUCUCUGACCUGGACCCACUGAAAAGCUGGAAAGCGUUAAGGUAAGGUAGGCCGGUUUCUUUUUUCCUCUUGACAAACUCUUCGCGGCGUUUUUCCUCCCGGAGAGCAAGCCUGCCUUCGCGGAAGAUGCCCGGGGAACUUACUCUCGAGGAAACAGCUGCCUCGGAUCGGGCUGCGAACAGCUGCUGUUUUAGCAUUUGGGGGUGGGUGUGUGGAGAGGCGGAACUCUCGUCUGCGCUGCAACUUCGGAGUUGCAGCAGCCGCCGCCUGAAGUCGUUCUGGGAUUUCGGCAAGCAAGAGACUGCCACAGAGUUGUCUGGAACAUUACCAAGGUAAGCAAGCUGUUCUUCUCAACAAAAUCUGUGUAUUGGCUUUGGGGAGCUGUUGAAGGGAAGUGCAACCUCUCUAGCAGAAGCAUCCAAGACAGCCUGUCAGGGGCUUAAGGAAGAAGGAGACCAUUUGUAUAAGAAACAAUGGUUGCAAAAAUCUGUGUUUGAAAAAGAGUCGGAACGUUGGCUGUGCCAGAUAGAAGCAGCUGCAGAGUGGGUUCUUUGAAUAGUAUAUAGUUUGUAUGUGUGCAUGCGCGUGCAUGAUGGCUUCUCUUUAAUUGGCGGGAUAUAUUGCCUAAGGAAGAACACCAUGAAUGAGCUUCUGCCAGGUUUGAACUCAGAGGACUUAUUAGCAGCUUCCUUCUGCUUUUGGAUUCAUAUGUUAGCUUGCACACAAAGUUGGAUGGUUAAAACAGGAAGGCUCUAAAGAACUGUACAUGGAGAAUGUUCUCCCGGCCAGUGGUAUAGUCCUACCACCCUGGGUGGGUGUGGGUCGAGAUGUUGGCACUUCUCCUGAAGCAGGACCUUGUGGGAUCCCUUCCUAUUGGCUCGGUCAGCUCACACCUUCCAUCCCCUUCUCUCCGGCUAGCGGACAGCUCUUCAGGCUGGCUCCUACUUCAAAGCAACCCUCUGUUUAUGAUAGAUAGAUAGAUAGACAGAUAGAUAGAUAGAGAGAGAGA